This 301-nucleotide ribosomal RNA is filed under the name uncultured bacterium. Its description in RNAcentral is "partial 16S ribosomal RNA". It matches the Rfam family "Bacterial small subunit ribosomal RNA", at positions 509 to 809 of the family's 1533-position model. The record is from RNAcentral.
CAGUAGCCGCGGGAAAACGGAGGGAGCUAGCGUUGUUCGGAAUUACUGGGCGUAAAGCGCGCGUAGGCGGUUACUCAAGUCAGAGGUGAAAGCCCGGGGCUCAACCCCGGAACUGCCUUUGAAACUAGGUGACUAGAAUCUUGGAGAGGUCAGUGGAAUUCCGAGUGUAGAGGUGAAAUUCGUAGAUAUUCGGAAGAACACCAGUGGCGAAGGCGACUGACUGGACAAGUAUUGACGCUGAGGUGCGAAAGCGUGGGGAGCAAACAGGAUUAGAUACCCCCGUAGUCCCUGUCUCUUAUAA